This 253-nucleotide ribosomal RNA is filed under the name uncultured bacterium. RNAcentral describes it as "partial 16S ribosomal RNA". It matches the Rfam family "Bacterial small subunit ribosomal RNA", at positions 524 to 776 of the family's 1533-position model. The record is from RNAcentral.
UACGUAGGGACCAAGCGUUGUUCGGAUUUACUGGGCGUAAAGGGCGCGUAGGCGGCGUGUUAAGUCACUUGUGAAAUCUCUGAGCUUAACUCAGAACGGUCAAGUGAUACUGAUGUGCUAGAGUGCAGAAGGGGCAACCGGAAUUCUUGGUGUAGCGGUGAAAUGCGUAGAUAUCAAGAGGAACACCUGAGGUGAAGACGGGUUGCUGGGCUGACACUGACGCUGAGGCGCGAAAGCUAGGGGAGCGAAUGGG